This 97-nucleotide signal recognition particle RNA is filed under the name Marinobacter adhaerens. RNAcentral's name for it is "signal recognition particle sRNA small type". It matches the Rfam family "Bacterial small signal recognition particle RNA". From Rfam's summary of the family: The signal recognition particle (SRP) is a universally conserved ribonucleoprotein involved in the co-translational targeting of proteins to membranes. Lineage: Bacteria; Pseudomonadati; Pseudomonadota; Gammaproteobacteria; Pseudomonadales; Marinobacteraceae. The record is from RNAcentral.
UGUUGGUGCCUCCGCAACAUGAAGCCGCAAACCCGGUCAGGCCCGGAAGGGAGCAGCCGUAGUGGUGGAAUUGUGUGCCGGAGUGUCGCUGAUGGGG